Molecule: transfer RNA, 73 nt
Filed under: Bacillus sp. FJAT-27231
Lineage: Bacteria; Bacillati; Bacillota; Bacilli; Caryophanales; Bacillaceae
Rfam family: tRNA
About the family: Transfer RNA (tRNA) molecules are approximately 80 nucleotides in length. Their secondary structure includes four short double-helical elements and three loops (D, anti-codon, and T loops).
Source: Rfam by way of RNAcentral
GGAGGAUUAGCUCAGCUGGGAGAGCACCUGCUUUGCACGCAGGAGGUCAGCGGUUCGAUCCCGCUAGGCUCCA